CCGUUGGAGCUUGCUCCAUCUGGGAUAGAACCCUUGAAUUUGAGUACCUUUUUGUUUCCUUGGUGGGUCCGCCCACCAGUGGACAACCGAAAACUCUCUGUUAUAGCAGUAUCUUCUGAGAAAAACAAAUAGUUA
This 135-nucleotide unclassified non-coding RNA is filed under the name uncultured Pleosporales. RNAcentral describes it as "sequence contains ITS1". The record is from RNAcentral. Lineage: Eukaryota; Fungi; Ascomycota; Dothideomycetes; Pleosporales.